CCUACGGGAGGCAGCAGUAGGGAAUCUUCCACAAUGGGCGAAAGCCUGAUGGAGCAACGCCGCGUGAGUGAUGAAGGCCUUCGGGUUGUAAAACUCUGUCUUCUGGGACGAACGGACAGGAGAGGGAAUGCUCUUGUUGUGACGGUACCAGAGGAGGAAGCCACGGCUAACUACGUGCCAGCAGCCGCGGUAAU
This 194-nucleotide ribosomal RNA is filed under the name uncultured bacterium. RNAcentral's name for it is "partial 16S ribosomal RNA". It matches the Rfam family "Bacterial small subunit ribosomal RNA", at positions 338 to 524 of the family's 1533-position model. The record is from RNAcentral.